RNAcentral lists this ribosomal RNA (200 nucleotides) under uncultured bacterium. RNAcentral's name for it is "partial 16S ribosomal RNA". It matches the Rfam family "Bacterial small subunit ribosomal RNA", at positions 8 to 202 of the family's 1533-position model. The record is from RNAcentral.
AGAGUUUGAUCCUGGCUCAGGACGAACGCUGGCGGCAUGCCUAACACAUGCAAGUCGAACGGACUUCCCGGAGCUUGCUCCGGGAAGUUAGUGGCGGACGGGUGAGUAACGCGUGAGUAAUCUGCCUCUGGAUGGGGAACAACAUCGGGAAACCGGUGCUAAUACCGCAUAACAUAUGAGUGUGGCAUCACAUUUAUAUC